GCAAUACAUGGCGUACUGCUCAGUAACACGUGGACAACCUACCCUUAGGACGGGGAUAAACCCGGGAAACUGGGUAUAAUACCCGAUAGUCCUCGGAUGCUGGAAUGCCCCGAGUACUAAAGCUCCGGCGCCUAAGGAUGGGUCUGCGGCCUAUCAGGUAGUAGUGGGUGUAGCGUACCUACUAGCCUACGACGGGUACGGGUUGUGGGAGCAAGAGCCCGGAGAUGGAUUCUGAGACACGAAUCCAGGCCCUACGGGGUGCAGCAGGCGCGAAAACUUUACAAUGCUGGAAACAGCGAUAAGGGGACCUCGAGUGCCAGGUUACAAAUCUGGCUGUCGUGAUGCCUAAAAAGCAUUGCAUAGCAAGGGCCGGGCAAGACCGGUGCCAGCCGCCGCGGUAACACCGGCGGCUCGAGUGGUAACCGUUAUUAUUGGGUCUAAAGGGUCUGUAGCCGGCCGGAUAAGUCUCUUGGGAAAUCUGGCAGCUUAACUGUCAGGCUUUCAGGAGAUACUGUCUGGCUCGAGGCCGGGAGAGGUGAGAGGUACUUCAGGGGUAGGGGUGAAAUCUUGUAAUCCUUGAAGGACCACCAGUGGCGAAGGCGUCUCACCAGAACGGACCUGACGGCAAGGGACGAAAGCUAGGGGCACGAACCGGAUUAGAUACCCGGGUAGUCCUAGCCGUAAACGAUACUCGCUAGGUGUCGGCCACGGUGCGACCGUUGUCGGUGCCGUAGGGAAGCCGUGAAGCGAGCCACCUGGGAAGUACGGCCGCAAGGCUGAAGCUUAAAGGAAUUGGCGGGGGAGCACCACAACGGGUGGAGCUUGCGGUUUAAUUGGAUUCAACGCCGGAAAGGGC
RNAcentral lists this ribosomal RNA (856 nucleotides) under uncultured archaeon. RNAcentral describes it as "bacterial SSU rRNA". It matches the Rfam family "Archaeal small subunit ribosomal RNA", at positions 71 to 928 of the family's 1478-position model. The record is from RNAcentral.